UGAACUCGACCGAGCGGCGAACUCAUCUCCGACUGAACCUGAGCCGUGUCAUGACAGUCCGUCGACAAUUUGGAUGUGAACUGAAUUGGUUUUACCAUUCCGGAUUUCUGUCUGGUCUGCAGUUUGAUUCUAGCGUUUGAACAUUUUCUGGACAGAAGCGGGAACGGACAAGCAUUUUUCCCGACCAGGCGGAGAGAAGUCGUGGUGUGCCAGCCUAUGGUAUCCGAGGUCCAGGAGAGAUGGCCUGCGCUGUUUUCCUUUGAGGAGGUCUAAGAAGGGAACUCUUGGUGAGAAGAUGGAAGACCUUCUGGAUAAACUUGAUGAACAGACUCUUUAGACAUCCAACAUUGUCUCCCACCGAAAGACAGCAGCACUGAGAGGCCUGCUCAUUUUCCUCUGAGAAGAUGCAACAAAGGUUUUCCUGAAGUGCUUUACUCCUUCUUUCGACCCGCUCCUGGCCUUUGGAUGGUAGCAACUCUCUGGCUUGCUUUAUCUGUCGUGUUUUCACGCAGCUCCUUUCUAUCUUUAGAUAUGUCUUUGGCUUCUUUGUGUUCUUUUUAACCAUUCAUCAUUGCAUUCCUUAUUUAUUUUGCACCCUCUCCAUUAUUCACAGUCCUAUAAUCAGUCAACCUGUAUACAAAGUGUGUCCAAAGUUUAGCUUAGGUGUUAUUUGCAAACCCAAAGCUCUUUUUUAGUGUCCCACAGCAUAUUUUAAAAAUGAAAUAGCAAUGUUUUAAGGAUUUUUAGAAAUAGUGACGUGAAGCAGUUCUCAAAAAACUGCUUCCAUCCAUUUUCUACAGCACUUUCCCAGCUGACAUUGGGCAAGAGGCGGAGUCAAAUUUCUGGAUUGGUUGCAAGUCAAUCUCAGCAGAGUACCUAUAGACAAACAACCAUUGACUUUCACACCUAUGGACAAUUUAGAAUCCUCAAUUAACCUAACAUUCAUCUUUUUGAAAUGUGGGAGGAGGACACAGUUCCUGGCAAAACCCCCCACAAACUCCACACGGCCGAGAUUCAAACCCAGAACCUCUAAUUGCGAGGCACACGUGCUAACCACAUAAUACACAGUUCAACCCCAUUUUCAAUCCAUCCAUUUUCUAUAUCACUUGCCCUUAUUAUGGUUGUGAGUGAGCUGCAGCCUUUCUAAGGUGACAUUAGGCAAAAGGCAGGGUACACCCUGGACCGGUUGCCAGUCAAUCUGCACAUACCGACAAACAAGCAUUCUCAUCCACAUAGACUAUUAGUUUUCAAUCAACCUAACAUGCACGUUUUUGGAAUGUUUGAAGAAGCUGCAGUUCCCGGAGAAAACCUGGGGACAUCAAACUCCACAUAGGAAGGCAGAUUUAAACUCAGAACCUAUUGACUGUGUGGCAGACGUGCUUACCACCAUGGUGCUGAAAUGAUGCCUUUAUCACAAAAUAUCAGUUUAGUGAUUUACAGGAAAGCAAAUUAUUUAAACAUUUGUAAAGACAAAUGCAGACUCACUGCUCAUCAUUUGAACAGCCUAACAAAUUUUGUGUCACUUUCUGUAUAAUUAAAUUCAAUCAAACGUUUUAGGAUGCUUAGAGUUAGAAUUGAGAACUGAUGUACAUCUAUGUUGCAUGGAGUCCACCCACUUCACAGCAAUAAGAGGUUGGGGAUUUUUUUUUAUUUGGAGUUGAAUGUGCAUAAAUGUGAAUGGAAUAA
Phyllopteryx taeniolatus (common seadragon) is the source of this 1686-nucleotide long non-coding RNA. RefSeq lists it as uncharacterized. The record is from RefSeq and is a predicted model, not a curated record. NCBI's taxonomy places the organism in Eukaryota, Metazoa, Chordata, Actinopteri, Syngnathiformes, Syngnathidae. The transcript is spliced from 5 exons.